GACGAACGCUGGCGGCGUGCCUAAUACAUGCAAGUAGAACGCACAGUUUAUACCGUAGCUUGCUCCACCAUAGACUGUGAGUUGCGAACGGGUGAGUAACGCGUAGGUAACCUGCCUGGUAGCGGGGGAUAACUAUUGGAAACGAUAGCUAAUACCGCAUAAUAUUAAUUAUUGCAUGAUAAUUAAUUGAAAGGUGCAAUUGCACCACUACCAGAUGGACCUGCGUUGUAUUAGCUAGUAGGUGAGGUAACGGCUCACCUAGGCGACGAUACAUAGCCGACCGGAGAGGGGGAUCGGCCACACUGGGACUGAGACACGGCCCAGACUCCUACGGGAGGCAGCAGUAGGGAAGCUUCGGCAAUGGACGGAAGUCUGACCGAGCAACGCCGCGUGAGUGAAGAAGGUUGUCGGAUCGUAAAGCUCUGUUGUAAGAGAAGAACGGGUGUGAGAGUGGAAAGUUCACACUGUGACGGUAUCUUACCAGAAAGGGACGGCUAACUACGUG
RNAcentral lists this ribosomal RNA (505 nucleotides) under uncultured bacterium. RNAcentral's name for it is "partial 16S ribosomal RNA". It matches the Rfam family "Bacterial small subunit ribosomal RNA", at positions 28 to 507 of the family's 1533-position model. The record is from RNAcentral.